GACGAACGCUGGCGGCGUGCCUAAUACAUGCAAGUCGAGCGGACGAAUCGAAAGCUUGCUUUUGAUUCGUUAGCGGCGGACGGGUGAGUAACACGUGGGCAACCUGCCCUGUAGACGGGGAUAACACCGAGAAAUCGGUGCUAAUACCGGAUAACACGAAAUGUCGCAUGACGUUUCGUUGAAAGACGGCGCAAGCUGUCGCUACAGGAUGGGCCCGCGGCGCAUUAGCUAGUUGGUGAGGUAACGGCUCACCAAGGCGACGAUGCGUAGCCGACCUGAGAGGGUGAUCGGCCACACUGGGACUGAGACACGGCCCAGACUCCUACGGGAGGCAGCAGUAGGGAAUCUUCCGCAAUGGACGAAAGUCUGACGGAGCAACGCCGCGUGAGCGAAGAAGGCCUUCGGGUCGUAAAGCUCUGUUGUUAGGGAAGAACAAGUAACGCAGUAACUGGCGUUACCGUGACGGUACCUAACGAGAAAGCCACGGCUAACUACGUGCCAGCAGCCGCGGUAAUACGUAGGUGGCAAGCGUUGUCCGGAAUUAUUGGGCGUAAAGCGCGCGCAGGCGGUUCCUUAAGUCUGAUGUGAAAGCCCACGGCUCAACCGUGGAGGGUCAUUGGAAACUGGGGGACUUGAGUGCAGAAGAGGAGAGCGAAAUUCCACGUGUAGCGGUGAAAUGCGUAGAGAUGUGAAGGAACACCGGUGGCGAAGGCGGCUCUCUGGUCUGUAACUGACCUGAGGCGCGAAGCGUGGGGGAGCAAACAGGAUAAAUACCCUGGUAGUCCAAGGCGAAUUCCACAUUGGGCUGCAGCCCGGGGAUCCACUAGUUCUAGAGCGCCGCACCGCGGAGCUCAAUUCGCCCUAUAGUGAGUCGUAUACGCGCGCUCACUGGCGUCGUUUACACCUU
RNAcentral lists this ribosomal RNA (907 nucleotides) under Anoxybacillus kestanbolensis. RNAcentral describes it as "bacterial SSU rRNA". It matches the Rfam family "Bacterial small subunit ribosomal RNA", at positions 28 to 873 of the family's 1533-position model. The record is from RNAcentral. Lineage: Bacteria; Bacillati; Bacillota; Bacilli; Caryophanales; Anoxybacillaceae.